GAUGAACGCUGGCGGCGUGCCUAAUACAUGCAAGUCGAGCGAACAGACGAGGAGCUUGCUCCUCUGACGUUAGCGGCGGACGGGUGAGUAACACGUGGAUAACCUACCUAUAAGACUGGGAUAACUUCGGGAAACCGGAGUUAAUACCGGAUAACAUGUUGAACCGCAUGGUUCAACAGUGAAAGACGGUUUUGCUGUCACUUAUAGAUGGUUCCGCGUCGCAUUAGCUAGUUGGUAAGGUAACGGCUUACCAAGGCAACGAUGCGUAGCCGACCUGAGAGGGUGAUCGGCCACACUGGAACUGAGACACGGUCCAGACUCCUACGGGAGGCAGCAGAAGGGAAUCUUCCGCAAUGGACGAAAGCCUGACGGAGCAACGCCGCGUGAGUGAAGAAGGUCUUCGGAUCGUAAAGCUCUGUUAUUAGGGAAGAACAAAUGAGUAAGUAACUAUGCACGUCUUGACGGGACCUAAUCAGAAAGCCACGGCUAACUACGUG
Molecule: ribosomal RNA, 497 nt
Filed under: uncultured bacterium
Lineage: Bacteria
Description: partial 16S ribosomal RNA
Rfam family: Bacterial small subunit ribosomal RNA
Source: RNAcentral